UUUCCAUUAUGCUGCCCACCGAAGGAUGC
RNAcentral lists this non-coding RNA (29 nucleotides) under Rattus norvegicus (Norway rat). Lineage: Eukaryota; Metazoa; Chordata; Mammalia; Rodentia; Muridae. The record is from RNAcentral.